AUUGAACGCUGGCGGCAGGCUUAACACAUGCAAGUCGGGCGGGGGAAGGUAGCUUGCUACCGGACCUAGCGGCGGACGGGUGAGUAAUGCUUAGGAAUCUGCCUAUUAGUGGGGGACAACAUCUCGAAAGGGAUGCUAAUACCGCAUACGUCCUACGGGCGAAAGCAGGGGAUCUUCGGACCUUGCGCUAAUAGAUGAGCCUAAGUCGGAUUAGCUAGUUGGUGGGGUAAAGGCCUACCAAGGCGACGAUCUGUAGCGGGUCUGAGAGGAUGAUCCGCCACACUGGGACUGAGACACGGCCCAGACCCCUACGGGAGGCAGCAGUGGGGAAUAUUGGACAAUGGGGGGAACCCUGAUCCAGCCAUGCCGCGUGUGUGAAGAAGGCCUUAUGGUUGUAAAGCACUUUAAGCGAGGAGGAGGCUACUCUAGUUAAUACCUAGGGAUAGUGGACGUUACUCGCAGAAUAAGCACCGGCUAACUCUGUGCCAGCAGCCGCAGUAA
This 501-nucleotide ribosomal RNA is filed under the name uncultured bacterium. Its description in RNAcentral is "partial 16S ribosomal RNA". It matches the Rfam family "Bacterial small subunit ribosomal RNA", at positions 30 to 523 of the family's 1533-position model. The record is from RNAcentral.